Molecule: long non-coding RNA, 538 nt
Organism: Dama dama (fallow deer)
Lineage: Eukaryota; Metazoa; Chordata; Mammalia; Artiodactyla; Cervidae
Exons: 3
Source: RefSeq, a predicted model, not a curated record
CACAAAUGCACGCCUGGCAGAUGCCAGUUCUACGGAAGAGUUGGCUGGGGCUGGACUUGGUCCAACCCCACGUGAGUGCCUGGCCAAGACCAAGCUGGUGUCCAUCGGCUCCGUUUCAUCUCAGAGCUCAAGAAGUUGAUACUGUCACAGAUUACCUCAGGUUUUCCUGGAAACCUCAGCUCAUGAGCACCUACUGUGAGUCACCAGAUUGAUUUUCUAAAGUAUUACAUGAAUCCUGCAUGUCACUUUCACUGGUCUUCCACCACCUACAGUUUACUCACAGGAGGACCUAGAGAUUCUGCCUCUGCAAUUCACUGGCUGCCAACACAUACUCUAUCCCUUGAUAAGUUGCUGGGAGUGUGUGCUGGGGGUGAUAGGUGGGGGCUGGUCAGUAGGUAAGACCUGAUGAUGGUGUUGAGAGAUCUCUCUGGUGUAAAUACUCCACAGGGGCUAUCAUUUCAAGCUACCAUUGUGAUGUCACUGAACAUGAAACUGGGAAAAUGUGCUGCUUAUAAAAUAUUUUCACCAUAUGUAUACA